This 536-nucleotide long non-coding RNA is filed under the name Panax ginseng (ginseng). RNAcentral describes it as "long non-coding RNA (PGIN_LNC016956)". The record is from RNAcentral. Lineage: Eukaryota; Viridiplantae; Streptophyta; Magnoliopsida; Apiales; Araliaceae.
CUCAAUCAAAUUCUGAAGUUUUUGAGGCAAGUCAUUCUCCACAAUCAAUUGCUUUGGGCGUGGGUGGUGCUCAUAUACAGCCUGACACAACAAGUAAGCCGUCAAUAGUUGGGUGUAAGAGACAGAAAAAGCAUAUUCCAAAUUUAUUUUGAUUUUUAAUAUCAAGUUAAAACAAAAUCAUGAACAGGCACUAAGCUUGUACACUAGAUCCGAAUAACACUCUGAUUGUAUUCUCUCUUUCAAGCAGUAACUAUGGAGUACUAAAAGUAAAUUCAACAUGGCCUUCCUGGCUAGCUGUAAGUUGUUAAAUUUGACUAGCUUCUACUCUAAUCUAUGUUUUACCAACCACUAUUAUGCCAGACAGACAUUUAUCAAUUAUGGGAUGGGUGAUGGGGUAGCCAAUCCUUAUUCACUAAACUGCAUUCCAAAAUAUUUGGGCCUUGAUAUGUAAGUAAGCUAUGUGUAUCCAAAAAAAUCCCUAUUUCACCGACUGCAUCCUUGGUAUAGAACCAUCAACUAGUUAUCCCAGCAGACAC